This is a long non-coding RNA of Peromyscus eremicus (cactus mouse), 644 nucleotides long. RefSeq lists it as uncharacterized. Lineage: Eukaryota; Metazoa; Chordata; Mammalia; Rodentia; Cricetidae. The transcript is spliced from 3 exons. The record is from RefSeq and is a predicted model, not a curated record.
GAGGAGAACAGGGAGCCCAUAGGACUUAAUGCCUCUGUUCUUUUUUUUCUCAGGCAGAGAAGGGAAUGAGGACUCAGUGAAGUGGGCCUGGGAGAUCCAUGCUCAGGAUUCAGAGAGCCAACCGGCUGCCUUUCUAGGUGUCUUUCAAUCCAAUCGAGUUGGCAGUCAAGAAGAACCGUUACACCCCUCCUGGGAAGAUGCGGAUGGAAAGAUGGAGCAGUCUACUGUCUAGUGGGCUCUAGCCACCAGCAGUCUUUGCCACUGUGGACUCUUAAGAACCUGUACCCAAGUCUCUGUCCAGGAGAACUGUUUUCAGGGGUCAGGCUGCAUCUAGGGCAGAGGGCGUUCUCUGGAUGCUUCUCAGAAUCAUGUCACUGGCCACCAUAUUUCUCUCUCGCCAUGGAGGCCAGGGCUCACCCAGCUCACCAGCAGUAGGAGGCAGCGCCAAAGAUCAGCCAGGAGACUGGAGGGGCUGAGGGCCUGAUGUUGCUUCUGGACCUUGGGACUCAACUUGUGAGAAAACCCUGGAACUUAAGAAACUCAGCUUAUUCAUCGAUUGGUAUUGAUUGCCUACAAUGUGGUCUGGAGAACAUUCAAGGCAGUCCUGAAUUUGUCUUUGAAAAUAUAUGAAAUGAGCAAAAAAA